CGUGCCAGCAGCCGCGGUAAUACCGGCGGCUCGAGUGGUGGCCACUAUUACUGGGCUUAAAGCGUUCGUAGCUGGGUUGUUAAGUUUCUUGGGAAAUCUACCGGCUUAACCGAUAGGCGUCCAAGGGAUACUGGCAAUCUAGGGACCGGGAGAGGUGAGGGGUACUUCAGGGGUAGGAGUGAAAUCCUGUAAUCCUUGGGGGACCACCUGUGGCGAAGGCGCCUCACCAGAACGGCUCCGACAGUGAGGGACGAAAGCUGGGGGAGCAAACCGGAUUAGAUACCCGGGUAGUCCCAGCCGUAAACGAUGCGCGUUAGGUGUAUCGAUGACCACGAGUCAUCGAGGUGCCGAAGGGAAACCGUGAAACGCGCCGCCUGGGAAGUACGGUCGCAAGGCUGAAACUUAAAGGAAUUGGCGGGGGAGCACCACAACAGGUGGAGCCUGCGGUUUAAUCGGACUCAACGCCGGAAAUCUCACCGGAUAAGACAGCUGAAUGAUAGCCGGGCUGAAGACUCUGCUUGACUAGCUGAGAGGAGGUGCAUGGCCGUCGUCAGUUCGUACUGUGAAGCAUCCUGUUAAGUCAGGCAACGAGCGAGACCCACGCCAACAGUUGCCAGCAUGUCCUCCGGGAUGGUGGGGACACUGUUGGGACCGCCUCUGCUAAAGAGGAGGAAGGAAUGGGCAACGGUAGGUCAGCAUGCCCCGAAUUAUCCGGGCUACACGCGGGCUACAAUGGGCAGGGCAAUGGGUUUCGACACCGAAAGGUGAAGGCAAUCUCUUAAACCUGCUCGUAGUUCGGAUUGCGGGUUGCAACUCGCCCGCAUGAAGCUGGAAUCUGUAGUAAUCGCGUCUCAAAAUGGCGCGGUGAAUAUGUCCCUCCUUGUACACACCGCCCGUCA
Molecule: ribosomal RNA, 899 nt
Filed under: uncultured bacterium
Lineage: Bacteria
Description: bacterial SSU rRNA
Rfam family: Archaeal small subunit ribosomal RNA
Source: RNAcentral